GACGAACGCUGGCGGCGUGCUUAACACAUGCAAGUCGAACGGAAAGGCCCUGCUUUUGCGGGGUGCUCGUGUGGCGAACGGGUGAGUAACACGUGUGUAACCUGCCCUUGACUUUGGGAUAACUUCAGGAAACUGGGGCUAAUACCGGAUAGGAGCUCCUGCUGCAUGGUGGGGGAUGGAAAGUUUCGGCGGUUGGGGAUGGACUCGCGGCUUAUCAGCUUGUUGGUGGGGUGGUGGCUUACCAAGGCUUUGACGGGUAGCCGGCCUGAGAGGGUGACCGGCCACAUGGGGACUGAGAUACGGCCCAGACUCCUACGGGAGGCAGCAGUGGGGAAGAUUGCACAAUGGGCGGAAGCCUGAUGCAGCAACGCCGCGUGCGGGAUGACGGCCUUCGGGUUGUAAACCGCUUUCGCCUGUGACGAAGCGUGAGUGACGGUAAUGGGUAAAGAAGCACCGGCUAACUACGUG
RNAcentral lists this ribosomal RNA (468 nucleotides) under uncultured bacterium. Its description in RNAcentral is "partial 16S ribosomal RNA". It matches the Rfam family "Bacterial small subunit ribosomal RNA", at positions 28 to 507 of the family's 1533-position model. The record is from RNAcentral.